Molecule: long non-coding RNA, 1063 nt
Organism: Catharus ustulatus (Swainson's thrush)
Lineage: Eukaryota; Metazoa; Chordata; Aves; Passeriformes; Turdidae
Exons: 3
Source: RefSeq, a predicted model, not a curated record
GAUUUUUCUGCUGCUCCUGGAGCACAAGGCUUAUCCUGGCUCAGGCCCCUGAAUGGCUGAAGGGUGGGUGAAACCAGAUCCUGAGGUGCUUAUUUAGAAAAGCCUCCUGUUGACUCUCACAGUGUGACUGCACAGCAUCCACAGGAACACAGCCCAGAAAUGUGACCCAAUAAAUGCCGUGUCUUCAGCCAUCAAUCUGCACUGUGAUGGCAGCGGUGGUGGGGAGAUGAAGCAGAUCACCACUGGAUACCAAGACCCAGGGGAAAAUGCCCCCUCCCUUUCCAUUCCAUUAUGAAAGUGAUGAAUCAGUCCAGGAAAGGUUAAAUGUCAUGUCCUGGGGACAUCCAGGAGGGCAGAAGCAGAGCAGGGCACAUCCCAAACCCCAGCAUUGCAGUUGGGUGCCAGGGCUCUAGAUGGAACCUUCCCUCUGUGCCUUCAACAUUAUUUACUUAAAAAAUACAGUAAUAUCUAGCUCUGCUGGUAAAUAUUUCAGAAUGCCUAAUAUAAAAUUCAAUAAAGUUAUAAUGCCAAUAGGGGAGGAAACUAUUUCCUUGGGGUAACAGGCUCUUUGUAUCAAAUAAAUGCUGGAGCAAAGGUUUGAGCUGUAAUGGUAAGAGACAAUCAAGGCAGGCCAAGGGAGGAACUGUUGGAUGCUGUGACUGGGGGAUUUUUUGCUGGUGCUUUUUGUGUUGGCAUCUAAGAGCUCCUCUCCUAAAGGUGCUGAGCAGCCACAUUCCCUAUGGGAGACAGUGGUGCUUAACACUUCCAAAAUUUUGGCCUCUAAAGAUGAAACCUGCUAUUUUGGCUGUAUCUGAAGGUGAGUGACAGCUGCUCAGUGAAGCUAUUUGGAGUAAAUCUCCAAAGGAGACAAUACAGGGCUUUUCCUCUGCUGUUUUCCACCCUUGGGAAGAGCUCUGUGCUUCUGGCUUGGAGCUGGGGCAAGUCCCAGAGGCACAGGAUCCUCAGGAGUCCAGCCUGUUCUUCCACCACUUUUGCCUGCAUUAAAGACUCCCAAAAUUUGGGCACAGCAAUCUGGGGAAGUAUGAGCAGGGGAUUCCCAAGA